Long non-coding RNA from Tympanuchus pallidicinctus (lesser prairie-chicken), 1003 nucleotides. RefSeq lists it as uncharacterized. The record is from RefSeq and is a predicted model, not a curated record. Lineage: Eukaryota; Metazoa; Chordata; Aves; Galliformes; Phasianidae. The transcript has 7 exons.
UUAAGGGCUAAUUGCCACUGGAGAAGGAUUUCUGGUUGGAGAUCCUUCCCUUGUAGUGUUUUCUUUGGAAGUUUUGAUCUUCAGAGAAAGAUGGGCUUGGAUCUCCAAAGGCAAUGAAGUAAUCAACAGCUCAGAGUCAAAAUAUCUGGAGACAUGUCAGAUGCCUUCCUUACCUCUGGUGACUCUAAAUGAAGUGCAGCACAUGAAUGUAUUCUCCCUGAGAAAUGCAAUAAACUAUUUUGCUAUCAAGUGCAUUAAGAUUUCAUCAUACAGUGAAAUCAUUCUUCUGAUUCUUUCCAGCUUCAGCAAUCACUGAGCUUGGAGAACCCUAGGAAAACCCCCAGUCAUCAGUUCCAGACCUUGGAUCAGACCCAUGAGAAUGCAGUGCCAUGGAAAAUGAAUCACCUCCGUUUCUCCAGCAAGGAGGUUCAGCACAAAGCAGCAGCUGAUGCUUGCACAUUCUGUGAUCAUUCCUCAUGAGAAGACUUUCCUGCUUACUGGUUUUAUUUUUGCAAGCCAAUGAGAUGUUGCAGAAGGUUCGUCUGGAAACUGAAGAGUGGGAAGAAACUUUCUCAAACAGUAUCUCAAACCAGAUCUUUCAGACCAGAGAGCACCACUUCAGAGAGAGGAGGUUGUCCAUAGGCGUGAAAGGACUGCCUGUUUGAGAGACCUCCUACUGCAUCCUAUUGCCGUAUUUUAGGCUACCUCUUUCUUCUAAACCUGGUCUUCUGUCUUUGAGUCUGGCUUUUGCAAGUGGCUUUGUGCAAGACCUUUAUAUUUUGUGGUUUCUUUAUGCAUCCUCAGCUAGCAAGGUUUAACUCAAAGAUAAGCUUCAGAAAGAGAUUUCAGUGAAAAAUAAGUCUUCUACCUCCUGAGCCUCCCCCAGCUUGGACUUAGCCAUGGAGGCUCUAUAUCAGCUGACCUGAAGGACAUACUGGCUUGGUGCCUGGAUAUAUCUCAAGUAUUUCUGAGCACUGGCCAAAGGAGGCUGACAGCAAGUAGA